Molecule: long non-coding RNA, 215 nt
Filed under: Mytilus galloprovincialis (Mediterranean mussel)
Lineage: Eukaryota; Metazoa; Mollusca; Bivalvia; Mytilida; Mytilidae
Source: RNAcentral
AAAAUCUGUAUUUUGGUGACAUAAAUCAAUCUUGAUUUAAAACCUGGUCUGUUAAUGGGUCGGAUGUAUAAAACCCGGUCUGUUAAUUGGUCUGUUAAGAGUUAUGAAUGACAAUAAAAGUGUAAUUUUAUUACUUUAUUGUGUGUUAAUUUGGUAGGCUCAAGACGAGCGGCUAAAAUAUACGGAAACAACACUUGAGCAAUGGAACAUAAAAU